CUCUAUGGUGCAUCCAACCUUAAAAAUCAGCUUAAGAAUGAAGGGCUACCCUCCUCAGGAAAGUAGCAACUUGGAAUAAAAUCUGGCACGCCUCAGGUGUCUGAGGAAAGGGGGUGUUCAUUUCCUUUGCCUGCCUUUGGCUGCCUACAUGU
This is a small nucleolar RNA of Dama dama (fallow deer), 152 nucleotides long. RefSeq annotates it as small nucleolar RNA SNORA67. NCBI's taxonomy places the organism in Eukaryota, Metazoa, Chordata, Mammalia, Artiodactyla, Cervidae. The transcript has a single exon. The record is from RefSeq and is a predicted model, not a curated record.